GAUGAACGCUGGCGGCGUGCCUAAUACAUGCAAGUCGAGCGAACGGACGAGAAGCUUGCUUUUCUGAUGUUAGCGGCGGACGGGUGAGUAACACGUGGAUAACCUACCUAUAAGACUGGGAUAACUUCGGGAAACCGGAGCUAAUACCGGAUAAUAUUUUGAACCGCAUGGCUCAAAAGUGAAAGACGGUCUUGCUGUCACUUAUAGAUGGAUCCGCGCUGCAUUAGCUAGUUGGUAAGGUAACGGCUUACCAAGGCAACGAUGCAUAGCCGACCUGAGAGGGUGAUCGGCCACACUGGAACUGAGACACGGUCCCGACUCCUACGGGAGGCAGCGGUCGGGAAUCUUCCGCAAUGGGCGGAAGCCUGACGGAGCAACGCCGCGUGAGUGAUGAAGGUCUUCGGAUCGUAAAACUCUGUUAUUAGGGAAGAACAUAUGUGUAAGUAACUGUGCACAUCUUGACGGUACCUAAUCAGAAAGCCACGGCUAACUCCGUG
This 497-nucleotide ribosomal RNA is filed under the name uncultured bacterium. RNAcentral's name for it is "partial 16S ribosomal RNA". It matches the Rfam family "Bacterial small subunit ribosomal RNA", at positions 28 to 507 of the family's 1533-position model. The record is from RNAcentral.